RNAcentral lists this ribosomal RNA (216 nucleotides) under Glomeromycotina sp. RNAcentral describes it as "partial small subunit ribosomal RNA". The stretch from base 40 to 216 matches the Rfam family "Eukaryotic small subunit ribosomal RNA", at positions 686 to 864 of the family's 1831-position model. Lineage: Eukaryota; Fungi; Glomeromycota. The record is from RNAcentral.
GGGUCAGUAGGUUGGUCGUGCCACCGGUACGUACUGGUCUCACUGAUUCCUCCUUCCUGAAGAACCGUAAUGCCAUUAAUUUGGUGUUGCGGGGAAACAGGAUUGUUACUUUGAAAAAAUUAGAGUGUUUAAAGCAAGCUAACGCCUGAAUACAUUAGCAUGGAAUAAUGAAAUAGGACGAUCGAUCCUAUUUUGUUGGUUUCUAGGAUUGACGUA